GACGAACGCUGGCGGCGUGCCUAAUACAUGCAAGUCGAACGCUGAAGGAGGAGCUUGCUUCUCUGGAUGAGUUGCGAACGGGUGAGUAACGCGUAGGUAACCUGCCUGGUAGCGGGGGAUAACUAUUGGAAACGAUAGCUAAUACCGCAUAAUAGUAGAUGUUGCAUGACAUUUACUUAAAAGGUGCAAUUGCAUCACUACCAGAUGGACCUGCGUUGUAUUAGCUAGUUGGUGGGGUAACGGCUCACCAAGGCGACGAUACAUAGCCGACCUGAGAGGGGGAUCGGCCACACUGGGACUGAGACACGGCCCAGACUCCUACGGGAGGCAGCAGUAGGGAAACUUCGGCAAUGGACGAAAGUCUGACCGAGCAACGCCGCGUGAGUGAAGAAGGUUUUCGGAUCGUAAAGCUCUGUUGUAAGAGAAGAACGAGUGUGAGAGUGGAAAGUUCACACUGUGACGGUAUCUUACCAGAAAGGGACGGCUAACUACGUG
RNAcentral lists this ribosomal RNA (495 nucleotides) under uncultured bacterium. RNAcentral's name for it is "partial 16S ribosomal RNA". It matches the Rfam family "Bacterial small subunit ribosomal RNA", at positions 28 to 507 of the family's 1533-position model. The record is from RNAcentral.